Molecule: non-coding RNA, 114 nt
Organism: Acanthosepion pharaonis
Lineage: Eukaryota; Metazoa; Mollusca; Cephalopoda; Sepiida; Sepiidae
Source: the annotation of a GenBank genome assembly
UUACGGCCCUAUCAUGUUGAAACACCGGUUCCCGUACAAUCACCAAAGUUAAGCAAUGUCGAGCCUGGUCAUUACCUAGAUGGGUGUUCGCUUGAGAAUACCAGGUACUGUAAG